GACGAACGCUGGCGGCGUGCUUAACACAUGCAAGUCGAACGGUGAACCAGAGCUUGCUCUGGGGAUCAGUGGCGAACGGGUGAGUAACACGUGGGCAACCUGCCCCAGACUCUGGGAUAACCUCGGGAAACCGAUGCUAAUACCGGAUACGACCACUUCGGACAUCCGACGGUGGUGGAAAGUUUUUCGGUCUGGGAUGGGCCCGCGGCCUAUCAGCUAGUUGGUGGGGUAAUGGCCUACCAAGGCGACGACGGGUAGCCGGCCUGAGAGGGCGACCGGCCACACUGGAACUGAGACACGGUCCAGACUCCUACGGGAGGCAGCAGUGGGGAAUAUUGCACAAUGGGCGAAAGCCUGAUGCAGCGACGCCGCGUGAGGGACGACGGCCUUCGGGUUGUAAACCUCUUUCUAGCAGGACGAAGCGAAAGUGACUGUACCUGCAGAAGAAGCACCGGCUAACUACGUG
This 466-nucleotide ribosomal RNA is filed under the name uncultured bacterium. RNAcentral describes it as "bacterial SSU rRNA". It matches the Rfam family "Bacterial small subunit ribosomal RNA", at positions 28 to 507 of the family's 1533-position model. The record is from RNAcentral.